UACGUAGGUGGCAAGCGUUAUCCGGAAUUAUUGGGCGUAAAGCGCGCGUAGGCGGUUUUUUAAGUCUGAUGUGAAAGCCCACGGCUCAACCGUGGAGGGUCAUUGGAAACUGGAAAACUUGAGUGCAGAAGAGGAAAGUGGAAUUCCAUGUGUAGCGGUGAAAUGCGCAGAGAUAUGGAGGAACGCCAGUGGCGAAGGCGACUUUCUGGUCUGUAACUGACGCUGAUGUGCGAAAGCGUGGGGAUCAAACAGGAUUAGAU
This 260-nucleotide ribosomal RNA is filed under the name uncultured Staphylococcus sp. Its description in RNAcentral is "partial 16S ribosomal RNA". It matches the Rfam family "Bacterial small subunit ribosomal RNA", at positions 524 to 783 of the family's 1533-position model. Lineage: Bacteria; Bacillati; Bacillota; Bacilli; Caryophanales; Staphylococcaceae. The record is from RNAcentral.